Molecule: ribosomal RNA, 497 nt
Filed under: uncultured bacterium
Lineage: Bacteria
Description: partial 16S ribosomal RNA
Rfam family: Bacterial small subunit ribosomal RNA
Source: RNAcentral
AUUGAACGCUGGCGGCAUGCCUAACACAUGCAAGUCGCACGCGAAAGGGGGCAACCCUGAGUAGAGUGGCGGGCGGGUGAGUAACGCGUAGGAAUCUACCUGGUAGUGGGGGACAACCCGGUGAAAACCGGGCUAAUACCGCCUACGAGCCACCGAAGAAAGCCGGGGACCGCAAGGCCUUGCGCUAUCAGAUGCACCUGCGUCGGAUUAGCUAGUUGGUGGGGUAAAGGCCCACCAAGGCGACGAUCCGUAGCUGGUUUGAGAGAACAGACCAGCCACACUGGGACUGAGACACGGCCCAGACUCCUACGGGAGGCAGCAGUGGGGAAUAUUGGACAAUGGGGGCAACCCUGAUCCAGCAAUGCCGCGUGUGUGAAGAAGGCCUUCGGGUUGUAAAGCACUUUCGGUGGGGACAAACAAGGUGGAGCUAACAUCUCCGCCUCUGAUGGUACCCAAAGAAGAAGCACCGGCUAACUCUGUGCCAGCCGCCGCCGUAA